Molecule: non-coding RNA, 471 nt
Organism: Oncorhynchus mykiss (rainbow trout)
Lineage: Eukaryota; Metazoa; Chordata; Actinopteri; Salmoniformes; Salmonidae
Source: RefSeq, a predicted model, not a curated record
GCAGACCUGGUUAUCAUAAACAGUGAUUUGGAACAGGAGUUUCUCUUAAGCUUCAAUAAGAGAGCCUGGAUUGGUCUGACUGACUCUGUUACUGAGGGGACCUGGAAAUGGGUGGAUGGCACCCCACUGACCACCCCAAGUUACUGGUACUCACAGCAGCCUGAUAAUGGUCGUGACAACCCAAAAUAUGGGGAGGAGGACUGUGUUGAACUGAACACAGAAAGUUGGCUUCCUGUAAAGGCAUGGAAUGACCAGUCAUGUUUACUCAAUCGUUACUGGAUUUGUGAGAAAGUGGUUUAACAUCACCAUGACAACAGAGGAGGCUGGUGGGAGGACGCGCACACAGACAGCACCUUACAGUGCACACAACUUCAUUCUCUCUCUCUCUAAGACACACCAACACACUGUAGGUACUGCACUGAGGGGCAAAACAACCUGAUAAUGGUGGUGUAUCAAGAUGUAACUAGGACU